AACGAACGCUGGCGGCAUGCCUAACACAUGCAAGUCGAACGAGACCUUCGGGUCUAGUGGCGCACGGGUGCGUAACGCGUGGGAACCUGCCCUUAGGUUCGGAAUAACUCCCCGAAAGGGGUGCUAAUACCGGAUAAUGUCUUCGGACCAAAGAUUUAUCGCCUUUGGAUGGGCCCGCGUUGGAUUAGCUAGUUGGUAGGGUAAAAGCCUACCAAGGCGACGAUCCAUAGCUGGUCUGAGAGGAUGAUCAGCCACACUGGGACUGAGACACGGCCCAGACUCCUACGGGAGACAGCAGUGGGGAAUAUUGGACAAUGGGCGAAAGCCUGAUCCAGCAAUGCCGCGUGAGGGAUGAAGGCCUUAGGGUUGUAAAGCUCUUUUACCCGGGAUGAUAAUGACAGUACCGGGAGAAUAAGCUCCGGCUAACUCCGUGC
This 434-nucleotide ribosomal RNA is filed under the name uncultured bacterium. Its description in RNAcentral is "partial 16S ribosomal RNA". It matches the Rfam family "Bacterial small subunit ribosomal RNA", at positions 29 to 508 of the family's 1533-position model. The record is from RNAcentral.